ACGGUCCAUGUUUUAUUGUAGCUUUAGGUGAAGAAAACCAAGGGCGGGCAAACCACUCACUCAUUCCCUCCAACUCAAUCCACCAGCCUUCCCCCAAAUCCCACGACGCAGCCGGAGUCAUCUCACCUCCUCAACCGCUUGCUCGCUGCACCACGUCUGCUGCACCACGUCUGCUGCACCAGGUACUUCCCCAAACCCUAGACUGACGCCGCACACUACGCCGGACCACCUCCUCUGUGCCGCUGCAUACCUCGCCGAACCACCUCUUACGCCGGACGACCAGGUUUAGAAAGUUGUUGAAGUUAGAGGUGCACAAAUCGGGUUAGGGUUUGUACCCGAACCGGGUUCAAACUAGUUGGAUUGAAGCUUAAAAAAGUCAAACCGGGUUGAGAGUGAAACUUAGUUGGAUUCAGCCCGUGUUAGUGGUUUGUAAAACUGAACCCUAUGAAACCAGUUCGGGUUAGGCCCUGCCCAUCAAACAAUCCUGGGUGUGUUUCGAGUAACCUGAAAUCGAGGUCUUUUGCGUUCCCUUGGAGGGUUCUGGACAAGUCUUUGGGUAAUGCACUCCAGCAAUUGCAGGAAGCAGUCCUUGAAGAGUUGAAGCUCUAAAGAAUGCCAAAAUUGAGGUAGUGAAAGACACACCUGAU
Helianthus annuus (common sunflower) is the source of this 647-nucleotide long non-coding RNA. RefSeq lists it as uncharacterized. NCBI's taxonomy places the organism in Eukaryota, Viridiplantae, Streptophyta, Magnoliopsida, Asterales, Asteraceae. The record is from RefSeq and is a predicted model, not a curated record. The transcript is spliced from 3 exons.